GACGAACGCUGGCGGCGUGCUUAACACAUGCAAGUCGAACGGAAAGGCCCUGCUUUUGUGGGGUGCUCGAGUGGCGAACGGGUGAGUAACACGUGAGUAACCUGCCCUUGACUUUGGGAUAACUUCAGGAAACUGGGGCUAAUACCGGAUAGGAGCUCCUGCUGCAUGGUGGGGGUUGGAAAGUUUCGGCGGUUGGGGAUGGACUCGCGGCUUAUCAGCUUGUUGGUGGGGUAGUGGCUUACCAAGGCUUUGACGGGUAGCCGGCCUGAGAGGGUGACCGGCCACAUUGGGACUGAGAUACGGCCCAGACUCCUACGGGAGGCAGCAGUGGGGAAUAUUGCACAAUGGGUGGAAGCCUGAUGCAGCAACGCCGCGUGCGGGAUGACGGCCUUCGGGUUGUAAACCGCUUUCGCCUGUGACGAAGCGUGAGUGACCGUAAUGGGUAAAGAAGCACCGGCUAACUACGUG
Molecule: ribosomal RNA, 468 nt
Filed under: uncultured bacterium
Lineage: Bacteria
Description: partial 16S ribosomal RNA
Rfam family: Bacterial small subunit ribosomal RNA
Source: RNAcentral